UAGAGAUUAAAUAAUAUAAAUUGAAUAAUUUAAAAGGAAUGAAUCUUUACUUGAAAAUAAAUUGUGUAAAAAAUUUUUACAAUACCAAACUUACUAGCUUUAUAUAUUUAAUAUCAUAUUUUUUAUAAAAAAAUAUAAUAUAUAACUACUUUUUAAAAAAUUCAAUAUUUAAUUUAUUGAUUUUUAA
RNAcentral lists this transfer RNA (187 nucleotides) under Pneumocystis jirovecii. RNAcentral describes it as "tRNA-Pseudo(TAA)". The record is from RNAcentral. Lineage: Eukaryota; Fungi; Ascomycota; Pneumocystomycetes; Pneumocystales; Pneumocystaceae.